Long non-coding RNA from Astatotilapia calliptera (eastern happy), 1176 nucleotides. The record is from Ensembl. Lineage: Eukaryota; Metazoa; Chordata; Actinopteri; Cichliformes; Cichlidae.
GGAAACCGAGCUGACGAUAAGGCCGAUGAUUCCUCUACCAACUGAGCUAUUGACUGGGCUAAGGAUUGAAAUAAGGUUUGUAGUAAGUCAGGCUGUGGAUGUGACUGUGCUAUGGGAAGCGAGGCUGAAUGUGGUGGAGGUGGCGACUGAGCUUCGGGCCGGGCGGCUAACAGAGAUUCAUGGCGAGUCACUCCUGGCAACUCUGUAGGCCUUAAGCUGUCCAUGUUAGGAGUAGCAGUCUCUAAAACAGUCACAGCACAGGAAGAUCCAGGUUUAGCAGAGUCAGUAAUACCGAGCACAAAGGGAUCCGUUGCGGACACAGGAGCAUUCACACAAACGGUUUCUAAGUAUAUAGGUUGGAGAGCAGCAUAGUCCAGGAGUGAAGAAACACCAUUCACAGUCUUAUACUCAGCAGGUACAGGGACCUCAGAACUGUUAACUUCACGGUGUUGUUCAUGAGUAUGCAGCUCAACAAUAGUCUUUUGCUUCUCUAAGGUGAGAUUAUCAGUCUGUGUGUUAAUUGCUGCUGACCUGGGAGGAGCACAGGAAAAGUAGUCACACUGAAACAUGGGCGUGAGGGUAGGCAAUGCAGGUUCAGGAUUAACCGACCCAGAAUUACCAGACACGGAGUUAAUGGCCUCUGGGAUGACGCGCAUGGAGCUUACAGUGCCAGGAUUCUUUAAUUCAGCAUGAACAGCAGUCUCUGGGGGGGUAAUGAACUCAGUCUCAUGCUUAAAAGGUGCGGAGGUGAACUUAGAAACAUUAUGAGCCCUGGAAACACAGUCAUAUUCAAACUCACUAUUCAGUUCUGAUGUGUUACGGACCUGAAAAACAGCGGACUCAGGAGCAGAAUAUUGUCCGAGUUGGUCCGACUUGGAAGUGGCAUGGAAGAAACAGUUAGUGUCACUCACCACCGGAGUUUGCUCAGAAACGUUAGGGCGGCGGCGGCGUGAGCGCCGUUUUCGCCGAGAGGGGGGAGGAGAUGAGCCGGGCCGCGAAUCCUCCAGCGGACCGGGCUGAACGUCCUCCGACCCCUCACACUGGAGAGGCAGCUCCGGGCGGACGCCUACGGUGGAAACAAGGAAGUCCCGGAUGUGGGGGUGCAGCGCGCCGAACAGCCACGGGAGUCCGGACACCAUCCGCUGUAGACGGGCGGCUACGACCUCCCGGUGUUCG